GAGGGAAGCAGCGAGGAAACGUUUAUUGUGUGUCCUCACAGUGGCGCUCAUGACUUAUAGUAGUGACUAAUAAUGCACGUAGUGGUGUGGGUAAAGGUCCUCAGUAGCGGAAUGGUCAGGCAGUGAGUCUAAUGCCGAGGCCGCGCUCUGCUCCCUGCUGGGCAUCCUACAGGAAAACUGUCACUGUCCAGUGUGGGCGUCAGGCGUCGGCCCGUCCUGCCGCUCGCGGGCGUGUCUGGUCAGGUGUGUGGGUGUGUG
This is a long non-coding RNA of Eriocheir sinensis (Chinese mitten crab), 258 nucleotides long. RefSeq lists it as uncharacterized. Lineage: Eukaryota; Metazoa; Arthropoda; Malacostraca; Decapoda; Varunidae. The record is from RefSeq and is a predicted model, not a curated record. The transcript is spliced from 2 exons.